CACCGCCGCGGUAAAACCAGCACCUCAAGUGGUCAGGAUGAUUAUUGGGCCUAAAGCAUCCGUAGCCCGUUUUGUAAGUUUUCCGUUAAAUCCAUGCGCUUAACGUAUGGGCUGCCGGGAAUACUGCAUAACUAGGAAGUGGGAGAGGUAGACGGUACUCGGUAGGAAGGGGUAAAAUCCUUUGAUCUAUUGAUGACCACCUGUGGCGAAGGCGGUCUACCAGAACACGUUCGACGGUGAGGGAUGAAAGCUGGGGGAGCAAACCGGAUUACAUACCCGGGUAGUCGAGCUGUAAACUAUGCAAACUCAGUGAUGCAUUGGCUUAUGGCCAAUGCAGUGCUGCAGGGAAGCCGUUAAGUUUGCCGCCUGGGAAGUACGUACGCAAGUAUGAAACUUAAAGGAAUUGGCGGGGGAGCACCU
This 420-nucleotide ribosomal RNA is filed under the name uncultured archaeon. Its description in RNAcentral is "bacterial SSU rRNA". It matches the Rfam family "Archaeal small subunit ribosomal RNA", at positions 460 to 881 of the family's 1478-position model. The record is from RNAcentral.